CUUACCAGGCAUUGACAUCCAAUGAACUUUCCAGAGAUGGAUUGGUGCCUUCGGGAGCAUUGAGACAGGUGCUGCAUGGCUGUCGUCAGCUCGUGUUGUGAAAUGUUGGGUUAAGUCCCGCAACGAGCGCAACCCUUAUCCUUUGUUGCCAGAGGUCCGGCCGGGAACUCAAAGGAGACUGCCAGUGAUAAACUGGAGGAAGGUGGGGAUGACGUCAAGUCAUCAUGGCCCUUACGACCAGGGCUACACACGUUCUACAAUGGCGCAUACAAAGAGAAGCGACCUCGCGAGAGCAAGCGGACCUCAUAAAGUGCGUCGUAGUCCGGAUUGGAGUCUGCAACUCGACUCCAUGAAGUCGGAAUCGCUAGUAAUCGUGGAUCAGAAUGCCACGGUGAAUACGUUCCC
This 405-nucleotide ribosomal RNA is filed under the name uncultured bacterium. Its description in RNAcentral is "bacterial SSU rRNA". It matches the Rfam family "Bacterial small subunit ribosomal RNA", at positions 970 to 1375 of the family's 1533-position model. The record is from RNAcentral.